CGCGGGGUAGAGAAGUUUGGUAGCUCGCAAGGCUCAUAACCUUGAGGUCACGAGUUCAAAUCCUGUCUCCGCAA
Molecule: transfer RNA, 74 nt
Filed under: Datura stramonium (jimsonweed)
Lineage: Eukaryota; Viridiplantae; Streptophyta; Magnoliopsida; Solanales; Solanaceae
Description: tRNA-Met
Rfam family: tRNA
About the family: Transfer RNA (tRNA) molecules are approximately 80 nucleotides in length. Their secondary structure includes four short double-helical elements and three loops (D, anti-codon, and T loops).
Source: RNAcentral